This 2334-nucleotide long non-coding RNA is filed under the name Zea mays. RNAcentral's name for it is "long non-coding RNA (ZMAY_LNC004856)". Lineage: Eukaryota; Viridiplantae; Streptophyta; Magnoliopsida; Poales; Poaceae. The record is from RNAcentral.
AAAGGCCCAACCUUAUAUCCAGUGUCUCGUGUGUUUCCUCUGUCGUGCUUAUGGGAAGGGAGACAGGUCAUCUACAGCUUCUUGCGUCUCUACUGCUGACGGGAGGGAAGGGAGUGGAUCUGGUGAUCCGUGGUAACGUAGUUCUCAAAACGUUAUCAGCACGCUCUACCUCGACGUUGCUGCGAGAUCAGAUAUGCAUCAACUCUUCGUCACGCCGGCAGGUCCGCGGCCUUGCCGAACUGUCCUACGCGACAGGCUUCGUUCCCGUUUGUCGAACCAGAAAUCACGAUAUGAAAUUUUGAGUGGAUCUGUAAUUUACUGUUCAUCGCGUAUAUUGUCUGCGAGCCCGUAUGCAUGCUGCCCGUCAGAUCCCGCGGCGGCUCGGCCGCCCUCAAGCCCUAGCAUGCAGAUCCUCCAUGCGGCGGCUAGGACACUCCCUGGUGAGUAGAAGGGGCUCUGGUGGCUGGGCGGUUAGAGUCGUGAGAAAAAAAAUAGGCGUUCCUCUACGGCACUGCACACAUGGCAUGUGGACCCCGCGUGGGCACUGGACCCGGCACUCUGUGCGACUGGGUCACGCGCAUGCCGUGCGGUUUCGUGAUUUCGUCUCUCUAGUUGUGUACGACCCAGCAGCCAACAUUCGUUAUUUCAUCAAGCGCAUGUGUGAGUCUCCACGUGGGCUCCACUUCCUAGUCGUGAGGACAGAGGGCACGUGACGUUAGUGGCUGCUGAUCCAUUGUGUGCCCAAUUGAAUUGACAUGCCCCCACGCAUGUGCAUGAUGCCAUGCCAAGUCUUCUAUUAUUUAUUUAUCUAUUCAUUUAUUUAAAAAAAAGUAAAAAGGAAAAGCUUCUCUUUAUGCAGUUUUUCUUAUAUUUUAUAUGAAUACAUUUCUUCUAAUUUAUACAAGUUGUAUACAUGCUUUACAUUAUAAUUUCUACCAUAAUAAAUAAUUAGUAGAAAAUGCAUGCUUCAGUAUGAGAAAUUGACUUUUACACCUGAUGUGUUAUGUUUAUGUAUUAAUUCUAGUGUUUAUUUUUCUACUGUUAUUUUCUGUAGUAAAUACUUAGCAGAAAAUUAUUAAAAUGUAUAUGAAGGCUAUAAUAUGCAUACUUAAAUCGCUCUAAAUAUUUAUUUUGUAUUGAGAUUUUGGACUCACACUGGGCGAUUAAAUUAUAUAUUGGGUACUCGUACGCCAAUCCGACUACAUAAUUAAUCGGCUGAGCUAUGGUAUUGGCUGAGCCCUGGCAACACGAUACAGUAUUUGUGUCAUUGAAUUUGGCUGCGUCAUGUGAUUGUUAAUCGCACUCUCGCUUAAUCGGACCACUUCUGUAGAGUUGGAUUGCCAUCGCCGAGUCACAUAUUUUUUGCAUGCCCUGUAGACACUGUCUGUCUGUCGUGAGCCACAAUUGCGCACGUUGCGUGGAUUUAUCGUGUACCCCAAUUACCGAGCCAUAAUUGUGCCUAUCGCGCUUAUUACGAAGGCUUGCUAUACUGUCGUAGCCCUGAUGGCCACACACGCGUUAACGCCAGAUACGCUAGAGCUUGUACUCGCGUGGAUUGUGGUGGGUUGUUUAAGGUCCUGAAGUCACAUUAUGUGCAACCUUCGUAAACAAUUUUGUUUUCACUUUAUAUUUUGUUUGAUUGUGUUGUGUGGCAUCGUAUAUUUAUAUAUAUCGCCAAGUGGCCAUAACAACUAUAUUAAAUCUGGGAAAUUAAAUCGAAAUACAAUGAAACACAGAUAAGUUAAAUCUCUGCUCUCUCCUCGUGCAUAAAGUUUUACCCGAAGUAACCUGAAGAAAUUCAAUAUUAAUGCAUGAAAGCCUUUUUAGCAUAGAAAACAUCACAAAUUGGGAUUUUAUUAGUAAGCAAUAAGACCUUGUCAGAUGAAUAAAUGCUAGAAUCUCAGUCAUACAUUGCUCAACCAGAUGUUGCCACAUUGCUAUUUGUCGCUGAACGGCAUGAAGCGAACUUUGAGAUAAAUGGCUAGUACCUUAGCAACACGAAAUUGCGAGUACAUCGAAAGGUAAUUCUGAGAAUUUUUUCACAAAGUUGGUGUGAAAAAACAUUGUGUGUUCUCGUUGAACCACUUUACUCGGCCUAUCUAGGACCUCUAUGCUUGUAUUGCAUACAUCUCUCACAAUUUAAAUACUUAUAGCCGCUGAAUUGACUUGGGAUAGUCCUUUGACUGGUAUGGUAUAUACUAUAAACCAAAUGGUAAAGGUCGAUUCUGAAUAGACAUAUAUCUGGGGUUUAUGUAGCAGAACUACAUUGUAUUCCACCCCUUGGCAUGCUUACCAUAAUCUAUAUCUGAUCUACCAGAAGUAAGAAGAGUACAA